This is a non-coding RNA of Myotis lucifugus (little brown bat), 77 nucleotides long. NCBI's taxonomy places the organism in Eukaryota, Metazoa, Chordata, Mammalia, Chiroptera, Vespertilionidae. The record is from Rfam.
AGUUCGGUCCUCGGGUGAUGCACCCUGGAAUCGGGCUCCCUCCUCUCUGGUUCCGGGUAUGUCACCUGAAAACCACA